AGGUUUGAGAGGAUCCGCUGAGCCUGUUGGACACCCUUCCUCUGUCUUGUAUUUUUGCUGAGCUCUCUCAAGUUUCGAAGGCAGCAGAAGGUCUCGCUAGUGAGUCCACAGGACUUCUUUGUUUCUGUGAAGCAUUGCUGUGGUUUGCAGUCAGUCUCCCCGAUGGCCAGCAAGCCUUACCUCAUUCACUUCUAUGACCAUGGAUGCUAGCCCUCAUGUUGGCAGCACCCCAGUACCCACUCUAUGAAAGUCCAUUCUUAAAGUUAGAAAAAUAAUUUAUUUGGCUUUUCACAACUUAGUAUCAUACAUGUAUAAGAGAAGAAAAGAAGACUGUAGGAAUAUGUCCUUGGAGAUACCAUUGAAAGUGGAAAUAUUUUGGGGGCAUCCUGGACAACCACUUUCUAUCAAUCUGUGUAUCUUUGAAUAGAGUCAAAAUAUGUCUUUGCAAAGUAUUUUAGUCUUUUGUGAAACAUUUUCUAAUUAUGCCAAAGGGACAACAUUAGCAAGUCUGACUGAGUCAAAGGAGACAAUACUGAUUUUCUGCCGAAGCGCACUUCUGAAGGUGAUUGGGAGAUCCUCCAAGAAGAGCCAAGAAAGGAACUGAUUCUUAAGAGACGAUGGGGCUCCUAUAAGCAGUUGUGAUUGCAUUUAUGGGAUAGAAGAUAGUAGUCUGGUUUUUUUUUUUUUUUUUAACAGUUUGCUUGUUUAUUUAUUUCCCAAGAGGGAGACAGAGAAAGACACUCUCAAUAGGUUCUCUCACUAUGAUCCUUCCCCACAGAUUUUCUCAGCCCCUCAGGAUCAUGAGGGUACGUCUAUGUUCUUGUCAGCCUGGAAACUGAAACCUGAUCUUCUACAUGGUUUCCAGCAUUGCAGGGGAUUGUGCUACUACUGUGCCACUGCACUUGGGCAGACAGUGUCUCUCUAUUAAAAAGUGUGAGAUUUAUGAUGUUUUAGACCUUCCUGACCAUGACAUAUGGCUAUUCUGUAUGUGAGAAGAAUGAACUACUUUGUGUAAAUUUGAUAAAUGAAUAAUCUUGGAAGGAGUGUGUUUGUUAAAAUGACUAUCGCUCUGGGGGCCAGCAGGUGGCGUGGUGGCUAAGGUUCUAGACUCCCACAUGAUUGACCACAGUUCAAGCCCCAUACCUGGCAGCUUGCUUUCUCUCUCUCUCUCGUCAAAUUGAAUAAUAAUAAUAAUUUAAUUAAAUGAAAUAAUUGAAAAAAUACAACUAUAGCUAUUCCAGGGGUUUUCAAAAACUUCAUGGAAAAUGUGUAUUAUGAAAAACUAUGCAUUUAAAAAUUUCUUGUGCCAAAAAUAAACUUGUACUCUUAAUUCCA
This is a long non-coding RNA of Tupaia belangeri chinensis (Chinese tree shrew), 1335 nucleotides long. RefSeq lists it as uncharacterized. Lineage: Eukaryota; Metazoa; Chordata; Mammalia; Scandentia; Tupaiidae. The record is from RefSeq and is a predicted model, not a curated record. The transcript has 2 exons.